This 494-nucleotide ribosomal RNA is filed under the name uncultured bacterium. Its description in RNAcentral is "partial 16S ribosomal RNA". It matches the Rfam family "Bacterial small subunit ribosomal RNA", at positions 28 to 507 of the family's 1533-position model. The record is from RNAcentral.
GACGAACGCUGGCGGCGUGCUUAACACAUGCAAGUCGAACGGAAAGGCCUGCUUUCCCUUGUGGAUUGCGGGUACUCGAGUGGCGAACGGGUGAGUAACACGUGAGUGAUCUGCCCCCAACUUGGGUAUAAGCCUGGGAAACUGGGUCUAAUUCCCGAUAGGACUGCAGGGUGGUGCCUGUGGUGGAAAACGAUUUUCUAGUGGUUGGGGAUGAGCUCGCGGCCUAUCAGCUUGUUGGUGGGGUAAUGGCCUACCAAGGCGGCGACGGGUAGCCGGCCUGAGAGGGUGGACGGCCACAGUGGGACUGAGAUACGGCCCAGACUCCUACGGGAGGCAGCAGUGGGGAAUAGUGCACAAUGGGCGGAAGCCUGAUGCAGCGACGCCGCGUGGGGGAUGACGGCCUUCGGGUGGUAAACUCCUUUCGACCGCGAGGAAGCCACCUGGUUGGAAGGGUGGUGACGGUAGUGGUAGAAGAAGCACCGGCUAACUACGUG